AACGAACGCUGGCGGCAUGCCUAACACAUGCAAGUCGAACGAGAUCUUCGGGUCUAGUGGCGCACGGGUGCGUAACGCGUGGGAAUCUGCCCUUGGUUCGGAAUAACAGUUGGAAACGACUGCUAAUACCGGAUGAUGACGAAAGUCCAAAGAUUUAUCGCCAGAGGAUGAGCCCGCGUAGGAUUAGCUAGUUGGUGUGGUAAAGGCGCACCAAGGCGACGAUCCUUAGCUGGUCUGAGAGGAUGAUCAGCCACACUGGGACUGAGACACGGCCCAGACUCCUACGGGAGGCAGCAGUGGGGAAUAUUGGACAAUGGGCGAAAGCCUGAUCCAGCAAUGCCGCGUGAGUGAUGAAGGCCUUAGGGUUGUAAAGCUCUUUUACCCGGGAUGAUAAUGACAGUACCGGGAGAAUAAGCUCCGGCUAACUCCGUGCCAGCAGCCGCGGUAAUACGGAGGGAGCUAGCGUUGUUCGGAAUUACUGGGCGUAAAGCGCACGUAGGCGGCUUUGUAAGUUAGAGGUGAAAGCCUGGAGCUCAACUCCAGAACUGCCUUUAAGACUGCAUCGCUUGAAUCCAGGA
Molecule: ribosomal RNA, 578 nt
Filed under: uncultured bacterium
Lineage: Bacteria
Description: bacterial SSU rRNA
Rfam family: Bacterial small subunit ribosomal RNA
Source: RNAcentral